GGAGCGAACUGCUCAGUAACACGUAGCUAAUCUAACCUUAGGUCGAGGAUAUUGUCGGGAAACUGACUUGAAUACUUGAUAGAAAACUUACCCUGGAAUGAUUUGUUUUUGAACUAAGGAUGAGGCUGCGGCGGAUUAGGUAGUUGGCGGGGUAAUAGCCCACCAAGCCAUUGAUCCGUAAGGGCUCUUAGCGGAGAGGCCCUGAGAGGGAAUCUGAGACACUAUUCCCAGCCCUACGGGGUGCAGCAGUUAGGAAUAAUCUACAAUGCGCGCAAGCGUGAUAGUUUGAGCCAGAGUGUUUAUCUAUUGAUAAGCUUUUGUGGAAUGUAAAAAGUUCCACGAAUAAGGACUGGGUAAGACUAGUGCCAGCCGCCACGGUAAUACUAGCGGUCCAAGUCGCAGCCAUUUUUAUUGGGUCUAAAACAUCCGUAGCUUGCUUGAUAAGUUUCUUGUGAAAUUUUAUGUCUUAAGCAUAGAGCGUGCAAGAAGUACUGUCAAGCUAGAGACUGGGGGACGUAAGAAGUACGUUCAAAGUAGUAGUAAAAUGCUUUAAUCUUGGACGGACUCACAAUAGCGAAGGCAUCUUACGAGAACAGUUCCGACAGUCAGGGAUGAAGGCUAGGGGCGCAAAACAGAUUAGAUACCUGUGUAGUCCUAGCAGUAAACACUGCACACUAAACAUCGGAGUCUCCUCGAGAGGCGUCGGUGCUGCAGGGAAGCCGAAGAGUGUGCUACCUGGGAAGUAUAGUCGCAAGGCCGAAACUUAAAGGAAUUGGCGGGGAGGCACUACAACGGGUGACGCGUGCGGUUCAAUUGGAUUAUACACCGGGAAUCUCACCAGGAGCGACUGCAGGAUGAAGGUCAGUCUGAAGGGCUUACCUGACACGCAGAGCGGGUGUGUAUGGCCGACUUAAGCCUGUGCUGUGAGGUGACCUGUUAAAUCAGGUAACAGGCAAGACCCACAUCUCUAUUUACUACGUGUACAAUAGAGAGAUUGCCUUGGAAACGAGGAUGAAAGCGUGGGCUAUGUCAGGUAUGUAAACACUUAAUCCCCUGGGCUACACGCGCGCGUCAAUGGUGGAUACAAUUGGAUGCGACACAGAAAUGUGAAGCUAAUCCCCUAAAGUUCAUCUCAGUCUAGAUUGAGGUUUGCAACCCAGCCUCAUGACACUGGAAUCCGUAGUAAUCGGGUGUUAUCAGCGCCCGGUGAAUAUGUCACUGUCUCUUGCACACACUGCCCGUCAAACCAACCGAGUUUAGUUAUGAUGAAACGUUUCGAUGGAGAAUUUUGGCUAGACAAGGUAGGUUAAGUCGUCACAAGGUA
RNAcentral lists this ribosomal RNA (1324 nucleotides) under metagenome. RNAcentral's name for it is "bacterial SSU rRNA". It matches the Rfam family "Archaeal small subunit ribosomal RNA". The record is from RNAcentral.